UGAAAGCCACUGGUCUCCCAAACAUACAUGCUGUUGUGAUAUUUUUGUCUGUUUGUACAGUCAGUGCUUUCACAGCCCAGUACCACUGCAAGUUGCUUCCUUUUUUAAAAUUGGUUCCUUUGAAUAGGUCUGUCCCAGCCCAGUACAGCUGCAAUGAUUCUAUAAAAGAAGACUUUCCAUUGAGGUUUGACCUGCUCUGCACCAGAAAGGACAGCAAGAUGGUGAUCCAGACCCCAAUCCUCCUGGCUCUGUUGCUCUGGGUGUCUGGUGUCUGCAGUGACAUUGUGAUGACCCAGUCUCCAGCCUCCCUGGCAGUGACUCCUGGAGAAAGCGCCACCAUCCACUGCAAGUCCAGCCAGAGUCUUCUAUAUAGUGUUAACAACAAGAACUGCUUAGCCUGGUACCAGCAGAAACCAGGGAAAUCUCCCAAACUGCUCAUCUUUUUGGCAUCCACCCGGGCAUAUGGCAUCCCAGACCGGUUCACUGGCAGUGGGUCUGGCAGGGAUUUCACCUUGACCAUCAGCAGGGUGCAGGCUGAAGAUGUGGCAGAUUAUUACUGUUUUCAGACUCUUAGUGCCUCUUCCCACAGUGAUUCAGCCUCGAACAUAAACUUCCUCUCAGGGUCUCCCAGCUGCUUGUUCUUUGAGCCGGUACAAUACUUCUAUCUUCGGCCUGAGAGACUGUGCCCUGGUCUAAAUGUGAGUUAUUUUCAGGUUUGUUGAACAUAAGGGAUCUCAGUGGAUUUUUACACUUUUGUUAUGGGAGUGCCAUGUAGGAAAUUUAAUAAAGACCUCUGUAUUAGUUUACUAUUUCUUAUGUAUUAGUUUCUACAAGCUCAAUGACUUUAAUAUAAGAUAUUAAGACAUAAGGGAUCUCAGUGGAUUUUUACACUUUUGUUAUGGG
Molecule: non-coding RNA, 903 nt
Organism: Cavia porcellus (domestic guinea pig)
Lineage: Eukaryota; Metazoa; Chordata; Mammalia; Rodentia; Caviidae
Source: the annotation of a RefSeq genome assembly